This 484-nucleotide ribosomal RNA is filed under the name uncultured bacterium. RNAcentral's name for it is "partial 16S ribosomal RNA". It matches the Rfam family "Bacterial small subunit ribosomal RNA", at positions 30 to 507 of the family's 1533-position model. The record is from RNAcentral.
AUUGAACGCUGGCGGCAGGCCUAACACAUGCAAGUCGUGCGGAUGAAGGGAGCUUGCUCCUGGAUUCAGCGGCGGACGGGUGAGUAAUGCCUAGGAAUCUGCCUGGUAGUGGGGGAUAACGUCCGGAAACGGACGCUAAUACCGCAUACGUCCUGAGGGAGAAAGUGGGGGAUCUUCGGACCUCACGCUAUCAGAUGAGCCUAGGUCGGAUUAGCUAGUUGGUGGGGUAAAGGCCUACCAAGGCGACGAUCCGUAACUGGUCUGAGAGGAUGAUCAGUCACACUGGAACUGAGACACGGUCCAGACUCCUACGGGAGGCAGCAGUGGGGAAUAUUGGACAAUGGGCGAAAGCCUGAUCCAGCCAUGCCGCGUGUGUGAAGAAGGUCUUCGGAUUGUAAAGCACUUUAAGUUGGGAGGAAGGGCAGUAAGUUAAUACCUUGCUGUUUUGACGUUACCAACAGAAUAAGCACCGGCUAACUUCGUG